GUCAUUACAUAAUGCAGCCAACAUUAGCCUACAUGCUGCAACACAGGGACCCAGGUUUAGGUUUGACCCAGGGCGCUAACAUGAGCACACAUCUUAAAGUGGUCUCCUUAGCCUCACCUGAGUUGGCAGAACUGGCAAGCUCUCAGGGACAAUGUGCAGCAAAUCCCAGCUACGCCAAGAUGAUAGUCGACUGAAGCGCACCAUGAUCUCAAAGUGGCCAGUGAUUGGCCUUGUUCUACCUUCCC
Molecule: long non-coding RNA, 245 nt
Organism: Alosa sapidissima (American shad)
Lineage: Eukaryota; Metazoa; Chordata; Actinopteri; Clupeiformes; Clupeidae
Exons: 3
Source: RefSeq, a predicted model, not a curated record